Molecule: ribosomal RNA, 292 nt
Filed under: uncultured bacterium
Lineage: Bacteria
Description: partial 16S ribosomal RNA
Rfam family: Bacterial small subunit ribosomal RNA
Source: RNAcentral
GUGCCAGCCGCCGCGGUAAUACGGAGGGUGCAAGCGUUGUCCGGAUUUAUUGGGUUUAAAGGGUGCGUAGGCGGCUAUUUAAGUCAGCGGUGAAAUCCUCCAGCUUAACUGGAGAAUUGCCAUUGAUACUGGAUAGCUUGAGUUCAGACGAGGUAGGCGGAAUUUAUGGUGUAGCGGUGAAAUGCAUAGAUACCAUAAAGAACACCGAUUGCGAAGGCAGCUUACUAGACUGAAACUGACGCUGAGGCACGAAAGCGUGGGUAGCAAACAGGAUUAGAUACCCUGGUAGUCC